Pneumocystis jirovecii is the source of this 78-nucleotide small nucleolar RNA. Lineage: Eukaryota; Fungi; Ascomycota; Pneumocystomycetes; Pneumocystales; Pneumocystaceae. The record is from Rfam.
CUUUGAUGAAUGUUGAUGACGAGUCAGAUUUUAUGUUUACUGUUGACAACUAUUUCUACCAUUCAUGCUUAACUGAGU